UGGAGCAUGUGGCUUAAUUCGAAGCAACGCGCAGAACCUUACCAACCCUUGACAUGGGCGUCGCGGACUCAGAGAUGGGUCUUUCAGUUCGGCUGGACGCCACACAGGUGCUGCAUGGCUGUCGUCAGCUCGUGUCGUGAGAUGUUCGGUUAAGUCCGGCAACGAGCGCAACCCACACUCUUAGUUGCCAGCAUUCAGUUGGGCACUCUAGGAGAACUGCCGGUGAUAAGCCGGAGGAAGGUGUGGAUGACGUCAAGUCCUCAUGGCCCUUACGGGUUGGGCUACACACGUGCUACAAUGGUGGUGACAAUGGGUUAAUCCCAAAAAGCCAUCUCAGUUCGGAUUGGGGUCUGCAACUCGACCCCAUGAAGUCGGAAUCGCUAGUAAUCGCGUAACAGCAUGACG
Molecule: ribosomal RNA, 405 nt
Filed under: uncultured bacterium
Lineage: Bacteria
Description: bacterial SSU rRNA
Rfam family: Bacterial small subunit ribosomal RNA
Source: RNAcentral